UUCAGAACAACUCGGGUUCCCACCCAGGUCCUGCCACCCCAGAACGGCGUGCACAGGCCACUGCUCUGAGCCUGUCUCUUCACCUGCAAAGUGGGGGUGGUGACAACUCCCUCCUUCUUGCUGAGAAGAUUUAAUGCCAUGAAGUCUGCACCGUGCUCACCUGCUACCACCGAGACAGGUACACAGCAGGCAGUGAAGGAUGGUGACUUGUUGUUUUCCAGACUCUUAUUUUUAGAAAACUUUCUCAUGCAUGCACUGCUUAACAUCAAAACAAUUUCUCAACCAAUGACUCACUGAAUUCCUUAACACCCCCAACCCACUCCACCCCACGAGGAAGCCGGCUGAGACCCUGAAGCCCACAGAGGGAGGAUGGCGUGCCCCCAGAGGCCCACCUGUUGGGGACAGAUCAAAGAUUGGAACCCCAGCUGAAGGGGCCUUUCGUUCAAAGUCUGCUUUAUAGAUUAGCUCUCCAAGUGACAGGGGAAUCUAGAAAAUAGGUCAUCUCUGGGCUUCGAGGUCCAGACUAGACACCAUGCCUGGGUACAGCACGUUGUGAUAAUCAUCAUUAUUUACAGUCAUAAUAAUAAUAGAAGCUCCUAUUGGGUGCCACUUCCUAUGGCAGUUCCCCCGUCUGUAAAAUGCAGAUGAUAGUGGUAAGUUCACAUUGUGGGAUUGUUGGUGAGGAGGGGUUAAUAUUUGUAAAGCCUGUAGAACAGGGCUCGGCAUACAGCAAACAUUACGUCAUUGAGAACAUUGAAAAUACAGAAGUGUCGUCUGCUAAAGGCUUAAGAUCGCCUCACGUUCUCCUCAGGACACGCCCACAGGAGGCUACCAUUACGUCCAUUUUGCAGGUGGGGAAACUGAGAGCUCAGGGAUGCAUGGGGAGGGCAGGCAUGUUACUCUCCCAAGGACGGGGAGGGCGAGCUCUGAGCGCAUGCAAGUGGGGAGUGCAACCCAGGGCCAUCUGCCUCCAGAUCUAUGGGGCUCCCAUCUGUCCCUCCUCCACUUCUGCAGGUCCCCAGGGGGGAGGCAGGAUGCAGCACGCUCUGGGGAAGGUAUUUCCAGAGGGUGACCUGAGCCCUGGGCCAGGCAGAGGGUUAUUAAUAGUGCCCUGGCUGGGGAGGAUGGCUCCGGGGAAGGGAGUGGGAGGGCGGAGCUGAGCCAGCGUGGGGAGGAGAGACUGCCCAGAGAGGCUGGCUGAACUUGGCUGCCAGGGCCCCUCCCAGCCCCCUGGAGCACAGCUGUUCCCUCAGCGGAUUCUCUGGGGCUGGUUCAUCACCUCGGAAUACUCCUGUGACAGGAGCCACUUGCAAAACCCGCCUCCAGCCCCCAGCAGCAAUAAAUAGAAAGCUCCCAGCCCAGGAGAAGCGAGAAGUUUCUAGGCCUGCCUCCCUGGGUUUAUUAAGCUCCUGGCUCCUCUUUAGACCUCAGCGGCUCUGGCUGCCAGCCUGUGUGGCCUGCGAGGACAGAGACUGGCUGAUCCCUGGUGAGGCAGUACGGAUAAGGGCCCUCUGGGAUUCUGCUGGAUCAGCGGGGGGUCGCCUUUGGUGGCUGGAGUGUCUCUGGGGCCCAGGACCCCAGCCUGGUGUGUGCCUCCGUCCCUGGCAGUGGAUGGUUCAGCAUUUUCUGAAGCUGAAGAAUAAGUUUGGAAGACCAGCCCACCCACAUCAGCUUGCUGUGUGACCUUGGGCAGGUGGCUGUGGUUCUCUGAGCCUCCACUUCCCCUCCAGCUCAGCGGCCACCAUGGCUGAUGGUCAGAUGCCCUUCCCCUACACGGGCCGCCUGCGCCGGGACCCCUUCCGAGACUCGCCCCUCUCCUCCCGCCUGCUGGAUGAUGGCUUUGGCAUGGACCCCUUCCACGACAAUUUGACUGCCUCUUGGCAUGACUGGGGCCUGCCUCCAUUCUCCUCGGCCUGGCCGGGGACCCUGAGGUCGGGCAUGGUGCCCCGGGGGCCCACCGCCACGGCCAGGUUUGGGGUACCUGCUGAGGGCAGGACCCCCCCACCGUUCCCUGGGGAGCCCUGGAAAGUGUGUGUCAACGUGCACAGCUUCAAGCCGGAGGAGCUGAUGGUGAAGACCAAGGACGGAUACGUGGAGGUGUCUGGUGAGUAGGGGGCCGAGAAAAAGGAGAGAGAACCCGGGGAGGGAGGCAUAGACAUCAGCCCUGGAAACAGCCAAGAGGACAGUUCCUUACGGGGAAGCUGUGACAGUAUGACACAGGUGACUUCAGGGCUCAGGAAUGCAGCCCACAGGAGUUAUCUUUAUGGAAAAGCACUCCUCUCCUGGCUUCCAGGGGAAAUCUUAACCUGACCCGGCUGCUGGGGCCUUCGGGUGCUGUAUCAAUCAGAGUCCAGGCAGGAAAAGGUAAACAGCGUCAGAUAUUUUGACAGAGGGCGUUGAAUGUAAAGAAUGAGUUAAACAGAGAAGGAAUCAAAGACAAGGAAGAGAUGGGCUCCCUUGCACCCCGGCAUCACAACAGUCUCGAAGGGCAUGUUUCACGCUGGACCAUCAUAGUGUUGAUAACCAGCGCAGCUUUCAAGAGAAACGCCUCCCUUUGUCAGGGGAGGAAACUGAGGCAUAGUGGUCAUUAUAACGAUACUAAUUGAUAACCUUGAUUGAGUGCCUACUGUCUGCUAGAGACCACGCUAGGUGCCUUCCCCGCAGCAUCUCAGUCAAUACAACCAGAGGAGAUGGGUCCUGUCUGUCUCUUCUUUUUACAGUUGAGGAAACUGAGGCACAGAGAUGUUAAAGUAACUCCCUCAAGGCCACCACGGAUUCAAACCCAGGCUGUCUGGGAAUCGGGAGGCCAGAGGCAAAUGGAUAAUGUAUUGAGCACCCUAGGUGCCAAGGGCUGGGCUAAAAGUCUUAUUUCUUCUCUCAAGCAAUCCUCACUCCAGCCGCGAGGAGCAGAGGUGUCUAGUGUCCCAUUUUGCAGUUGAGGAGGCUGAGGCCCAGGCGGGACUCGUCCAAGGUCACGGUGUGAGUCAGCAGCAGCAAGAGUCUGGGCCUACCCAUGACUCCGGGCCCACGGCUCCUGCCACCACAUCCCAGCCUGGGAGAGGGAAUGCUCCGGGAAAGAAAAAACAGGAGCUGGGGGCUCCCUCCCUCCCUCUAAGCAGGGCGGCAGAGGAAAAGCUUUCUCUCCGCUUCCCUCCCAAUUAACACUCCAUUAGAGAGAGCAUGUUCCUUGCAGGCUCCGCCAGCCAGAAAAUCAAUAAAGGCCACGCAGACACAGGCUGGCAGGACAAGCCCUGGCAGGCAGCGGGCAGGGGUAGGUUCAAAGCCUCGCAGGGCAGAAUUGUAAACAUCAGAGGCUCCGGAGGGUGUGGUGGGCCAGGAGACACGCUGGGGCCACGUGCUGACGGAGGAGGUCAGCCAGGGCUCCCCGAGCCAGGCAGGAGUUCUGCAACCAGAUCCGCCACUCACCAGCAGGCUGUGCACAUUGCAUAACUUCUCUGUGCUUUGUUUCCUUAUCUGAAAAUGGGAUUCAAAGAGUGACACCACAUAAGGAUUCUUGUAUUAAAUGAGGUGAUGUGUGUAAAACGUAUACAUAGUGCCCAGAACACAAGGGAUCAGGACUGUAAUUGUGGGGGAUGUUGUUGUUGUUAAAAUGCCAGGCACAUGGUAGAGGACCAAUCAAUCAUAAAUGGUAGAUGCUCUUUGAGACCAGGGUUUGAAUCCCAGCACCGCUGAUCAUGCUCUAGAUGGAUAUGGACAAGAAAGUCUUCCCACGGCUCCCAGACUCAGUUUCCUCGUCUGUGUCAUGGGGAUCAUAAUAAUCUCUUUCCUGCAAAGCUGUAGGGAAGGUUAAAUACACUCAGACAAUAUAUGAUAAUAAAUGCAGAGUGUCUGUAAUGGCUCCUAACAGGGCCUGCCUGGCGCUCAGUAAACAAGGUGAUUAUUAUCACCAGUCCUGCUGUCUUUGUUUUAAUUAGGGUUCCAGAAUCUUCCACCCUAGAUUGGAGGAUUGCUCAUGCCCCACGGCCUCCUCCAGAAGACCUCUGUUCAACCUGGAGGGUUUUUCUCCAUCCUCCUUUCUAGGUGCUUCUUCACAGGUGAGGCCUGGCAGCUCCAGGCUGAGAUCCUGGCGAAGCACCUUACCAAUCCAGGGGCUUUGAGUGAGCGAUGGAGCCUCAGUCCCCACGUCUGUAAAAUGGGCUGGUCGGGGCUUAAAUAAGACAAAGACAGACGAAGCCUUUUUAGGCUGUAAAACCCUCACAGGGUGCACUUAGCAGCCGCAGCGUGACACGAUCCCAAUCCCCUGAGAUUGCACACGGAAACUAUCAUAACAGAGGUUUCAGAAGUCAGAUUGAUAUCAGGCUCUAUUUAAAAAGCCACUUUCAAGGGGCCGGCAGAAGUCAGAUCGGGUCUCCCAGCCUCCAUCCCAUGAUGACAGACCUAUUCCUCCUCAAGCACUUUGUGUGGGGCACUAUGCUAAAUGCUGCCAUGUGUUGGCCCCCUGGUCCUUCCCAUGGACUUCCCGGGAAAGACGGAUAGGUUUGUUCCAUGCAUACUACAGAACAGGAAACAGAAGGCCAGACAGAGUAACUCACCUGAGACCACCGGCUUCUCCACGGUAAUGUCUGAAACUCAAAGCCGGGCCUGCUUAGACAGUUCCAAGUCAGGAUGGCUCAAUCUGCUUCUGAUUGCGUGGCCUUGGGCAAGUCCUACCACCUCUUGUUGUUCUUAUGAGGAGGUGGACUAGAUCAGUAUUUGCCAAAUGGAGUGCUUUAAGAUGUCACUAGGCAUCUGAGAAACAGAGGGAGGGGCAUCCAGAAUUUUAGAAAGUUCCGGAUGCAACUAAAUUAUAAACAGGUCUCCUCACUGCUGGACUUAUCAGAGCCUUGAAUCCACCAAUGGAGUUGAUGGAUCUCUGAGAGAUGGUCCUCUCUUAUCUGACCACAUGUGAGUGUCUAGUCCCAGGGAAGUGUUUGGAAAAUGCUGGACUAGAAGAGUUCCAUCAUGCCUCACACACCCCACCCCCAACAUGCAGACACUAGCCAAGAAAUGUUCCCUUCAUGGGCCACUGGGCCAGGCCCUGGCCAAGGAAGGGACUGGAAAGCCCCAAGGCCUUAUUCCUGCCCCUUCUUAAUCCCAGGGCCUGUGCCUCCCCUGGAAACAGCACUGUCUUUCUUUAGCUGGGCCAAUGGACUUCCCCCAACUCCUGCUUCCUGCCUCUUGGCGCCGACAUUUCUCUGAGGCACGUGGAGAACAUGGUGGCUGCAAGGGGCCUCUGACUUCCUCCGGCCUCCAGAUGAGUUCUUGAAGAAAAAAAUUAUAAUAAUUACUUUUUUCUGUUUACAAAAAUAAAGUAUUUCCACAGUAGAAAAUGUACAUAGGAAACCAAAAUAAGAAGCAAAAAAGCACUCAUAAUCCUUAAGCUGCCCCAAUAAAUAGAUAUUCAAAUAAUAUGUAAAUUAAAUUCAAGACAGGCCUCCUAGCAACAUCCUCUUACAACCAGGUUAACCCCCUCCCCUCCCUGACCCCAAAACCCUGUUUCCAGAGCCCGGACAGGGAGAGCUAGCUUGUGAAGAGCACUCCUUUCUCCAAACGUCAAAAUAAACCACAAGCAUUCACCUUCACACAGUUUUUUGACCAUUUACACAGCAAUUCUGUGACUCAUUCUCAUUUGCUCCUCACAAUAACCCAAGCCUUGUCACCCCCACCUUAGAGAAGAAUAGACUGAAGCUCCAAGAACAGAGAUGCUGGGAAAUGUCAGAGCACAGACUCAAACCCAUCUACCUCCUUUUGAAUCUGCACUCCAUCACUUCCGAGCUGUGUGACCUUCAGCACAUCACCUCACCUCUCUGAACUUUCAUUCCCCAUCCACAAAACGGUGAUGGUAAAAGUACCUGCCUUCUAAGGCUGUUGGGAAAAUUAAAGGCGCUGAGAACAGUGGCUGACACCAAGCAAACACGAGGAGAAGCAGCAAGAAGGCGGCAUUGUUUCCAAGAACUUCACAAAGAAAAUCCAGCUUCCUGCAGAGGUGGAUCCUGUGACAGUAUUUGCCUCGCUUUCCCCAGAGGGCCUGCUGAUCAUCGAAGCUCCCCAGGUCCCCCCUUACUCACCAUUUGGAGAAAGCAGUUUCAACAACGAGCUUCCCCAAGACAGCCAGGAAGUCACCUGUACCUGAGACCCCAGUCAUGGCCCAUCCUUGUUCCCUCCCCAACCCCAGGGCUUCUCUGAUUCCAGGGUACAUUACUGUAGCUGAACUCAUAGAUUUAGCGCAACUAAGAUGUUGGGGGUGGGAGUGGAUGGACCACAGAGUCCCUGGAUAGUGUAGUAGUAGGUUUUUCCACAAGAGGGCGCAAUUGGCGAGUCAUGCUCAGUUGCGCAAAAUGCUGGGAGUUUUUUUUUUUUUUCUUUACCUUUUCUGUCUUGAUGAAAAUGUUGCACAUUCUAAAGUUGCCAAACCAAUAUAAUGGGACAUAACAUUUCACAUUGCAUCUUACCUUGCAGCUGAUGCAAGGGUUGCUUUUCUCUGGGGACCUCCCCAUCACCCAGAUUCCUAUUCUGGGCUCUCAAUUUCCCUGCCUGCCCUGUGGUUUGGGUGAAGGAGCCCAUUAGCUCACUCCAUUGUGUUUCUGCAGCCCUGGCCUAAGAAGGGUUAUAGAGAGGUCUUACAUCCCCAUAUGGGAUUUAUCCAACAGCCACAUGAAAAUAAACAGUGCCUUCUGCCCUCCACCCAGGCAUUUACAGCAUGUUCCCAAGCUGGCACUCCCCGGGGACUCUGGAAGCCCCUCAGUUUAUUCUCUGGCUAAAGCCCCCCCUUUCUUGUGUCUCCUAUGUCCAAGUUGGGACUUUUAGAGAGGGCUGUCUCCAGACAGCUCCAGCUGGAACCAAGCAAAGGCCAGACAGCCUGGCAGGCAGGCUAGUGGUAUUGUCUAUAUGGGUGGGACGUGUGUGUCAUUGUUAUUUGAAUUGUGCUGUUGUUUAGGGGAAAAUAACAGUAAAUGAUAAUAAUAAUAAAGGAGCUGAUGUUCUUAGCCUGGUGUGCUUCUUUUGAUGAGGGGCUAAAUGCUAUACCACUUAGAUAUGCAAUGUCAGUUAGGAAUGCUUGUGGCUACAAAUUAUAAUGCCCAAUGAGUAGUGGCUUAAAUGACACAAACAUCUAACUUUAUAAGAAGUUCAGGUAUGAGUGAUUUCAGAGUUACUUUUUCAGAAGGUACGUCACCAAGAAUCCAGAGUAUUUCCAUCUUUUUCCUCUGCCAUCUCUAAAAAGUCCACUAGGUCUAUCCUCGCAUUUGUAAGAUGGCUGCAGCAGCCCCAGGCAUCUCAUCCUCGGGUGACAAGGUACAGGAAGAGAAGGCAAGGAUAAAAAAAAAAGCCUUCUCAUCUGGCCUCCUCUUUUAUCAGCACUCAAGAUCUUUUCCAGAAGCUCUCUCUCAGCAGAUUUCUUCUUUUAUUUCAUUGACCCAACUUGGGUCACACGCCUAGCCUGAAGCCAGUCCCUGGCAAAGUGAAAGUGAUGGCCAUAAUGGGCUUAGAUCCAGAUUGAUUUGUCCUCUGAGGCCAGGAACAUUGCUGUGUGAAAAAGCAAGGUUCUGUUAAGAAGGACAGGGGUGUAGCAGCUGUGAGCGCCAUCAACAGUGUAACGGCGGCUGCAGGCUGACGCUGCCAGGAGCGCAGAACCUGGAACACAGGGUGGCAGGGAGCAAGGCUGCUGGCAUAGUGCACCAGUUGGGACUGUUUCUGGGGUAAGGGUGAAGAAACUCAACUCAAACUGAUGGACGCGAGAAGGGGUAUUUAUUGGUAUACAUAGCUGAGAAGUCCAGGAUAAAACCCGCUUUCAGGGCUCCAGUGAUGUCAACAGAACUCAGUUUCUCUCUCUCUCUUGGUCCUGCAGAGUCGGCUUCACUCCCAGUCUCCCUGUUGCCUCCCGGCCCUCCCCGUCCCCAGCCCUCCAUGCCCCCGUGUCCUCCCUCUGUGGUCGUGAGACGGCUACAGUCACUAUUCCCUCUCACAUUCCACUCCCCAGGGAGAAAAGCCAUCUUUUCCUAUAGUUUCUGCCCUAUCCCUGAGAGUCAUUCUUAUUGGAUGGGCUUCCGUCACAUGACCAUCCUGAGCUAAGCAGGGACCACGAAAUCAGAGCUUUGAUUGGCCAGGCCUGGGUCACAUGCUCUAUCCCUGGAGCCAAUCCCAAUGAAUCCCCACAACACCCGGAAGUAGAUGUUCGUUUUAUAAGGAAGAAGCUGAAGCUAAGUGGUUUGGGUAGGUCACGUGGUGACAGCAGAACUCAAACCCGGAUGUUUGCUUUUGGAAGGGUUAAUGAGGAGCUGCUGGGCUGGUUUUCAAGAGCACCUCCAAACUCCAGAUGACCGGAGAAAUCACUAUUUCCUGAGCACCUACUCGGUCCAUCCUGUGCUAGGUGCCAAGGAUACAGAGACCAAUGAACCACAAUUCCUGCCCCAAGGAGCUCACAGACCAGUGACAGAGACAGGCAGAUAAAAGAAUGCCUGGCUCCCUUUAAAUCCUCACUGUGUGACAGACACCAUGCUAAGUGCUUUAUUAUAGUAGAUUUACUGACACUACAAUCCUAUGAGAUAGGUCCAGCUGUUACCUCCGUUUUACAGAUAGGGAAACUGAGGCAUGGAAAGGUUACGUGCACUGCCCCCAAAUCACACAUCUGGUAAGCCCCAGGCCCAGGACCUUCACUAGUACUCUUACCCUGUUCUGCCCUUCUCCCAACAAAAUAAAAUGUAAGCGUGCCCUAAGUGAGUCGUCCAGCUUGUAGGAAGAGCAGAGAGGUGAUAUUUCAAGUUGGGGCUUUGCAGGGAGGGUGGGAGUCAGAGGUGGCUUACAGAGUCACUCCUGUCGGACUUGAAGAUGGGCAGGUUGUAGGAUUUGAGCAAGCAGGGGUGGGGAUGGGGAGGUGCCUCACAGGCUGAAGAAAACACCUGAGCCAAGGAGAAAGGUAUGUUCCUUUGAAAAUGCUUUGAUGGUUCCCCAUUGUUCAAAGGAUCAAGUCCAAGCUUCUCUGCAAGACUUAGAAGGCGUUAUGGGAUCCAUCUGGUUACCUCUCUGCACCCCAGCCCCAAGCCCCUCCCCUCCCCUCCAGCCCCACCUAACUUCCGUCUCUUCUUCCAGCCAGCUCUCUCUUGCUACCAGAACCUUGAAUACACUGCUCUCUCUCUCCAAGGUUGACUGACCCACCCUCUGCACGGGCUAAUUUUUUUCUCCCAGUGGCUUAAGCAACAAGUUUCUUUCUUUCUUUCUUCUUUCUUAAAAUUAUUUUAUUGAGGUUGUGUUGGCUUAUAACAUUGUGUGAAUUUCAGGUGUACCUUAUUAUAUUUUGGCUUCUGUGUAGACUGAAUCAUGUUCACCACCAAAAAUCCAGUUUCUGUCUGUCAUACAUAUGUGCCCCUUUACCCCUUUCACCCUCCCUCCCACCCCUUCCUCUCUGAUAACCAUCAAUCUAUUCUCCUUAUCUAUGUGUUUGUUUACCUUCCACAUAUGAGUGAAAUCAUACAGUAUUUGUCUUUUUCCAUCUGAGUUAUUUCACUUAGCAUAAUACCCUCAAGGUCCAUCCAUGUUGUUGCAAAUGGCAUGAUUUUGUCUAUUUUAUGGCUGAGUAGUAUUCCAUUGUGUAUAUAUACCACAUCUUUUUUUCUCCAUUCAUUCGUUGAUGGGCACUUGGGUUGCUUCCAUGUCUAGGCUAUUGUGAAUAAUGCUGCAAUGAACAUAGGGGUGCGUAUAUCUUUUUGAAUUAUUGGUUUCAUAUUCUUUGGAUAAAUACCCAGUAGUGGAAUAGCUGGAUCAUAUGGUAUUUCUAUUUUGAAUUUUUUGUGAAAUCUCCAUGGUGUUUUCCAUAAUAGCUACACCAGUUUGCAUUGCCACCAGCAGUAUAGGAGGGCUCCCUCUUCUCUACAUCCUCGCCAACAUUUAUUUCUUAUCUUGUUAAUUAUAGUCUUCACUGGCUAAUUCUUUAGACUGCCCCUGGCCAGAGCCACUUCUUGCUUACCCCUGUCCCAACAAACACACCAUAUAACAGCUUUGGUGUUUGUGUAGCAGAAUAAAUAGUAAUAGCAAUCAUAAAAACCCAAACUACCCUAGCUGCUCUGCUUUCAAGGACAGGAUGGGGAAUCAUUCAAAUAAAGGAGAAAAUCCCUACUCAUUGGAUAUUUGUUCAACAAAUAUUUACCGGGCACUGACCAUGUUCAAGGCACUGUGCUGGGUGGCAGGUUACCAUUUCUCUCCACUUUGAGAGCCUGGAGAGAAAAGGAGGGAAGCGAGGCUAUUUCCAUGUUCUCCAGUUCUGGCUGAUGAAUGGUGAGACCCCGAGCGGGUAGAGUGGAAAGCUCACCUAUGAGGUGGUACCCAGGCCAAGGGCAUGAAGGACCACACAGAUUUGCCCAAGCAAGUGAGCAGGGUCUCUCAAGCAAGGGGGCCUGGUAAUGUGGUGGGGGCCUGGACUAUAGCGAGAGGUGACCAGUGAGGGAUGCCAGGUGGUGGCUGGACCUGGAACCUAAAAAUGCUGCACAAUAUUCAGUUUUUAAUUCUUUGCCUUGUGAUAUAAAAUGUGCCAAUCCAACCUUUAGGGAAGUCUUACAUACCCACAGAUGCUUUGUGUGGGUGGUCUUGGGGGCGGUGGUGGAUCAAGGUUGGGGACAAGCCAGAGCGAAGUGAAUGGUGAGGAGAAUUCUCCACAGGCAGCACCUGAAGUGAGAAGGGACUAUGGGAAUGGACCUCCUGAAACAUCGCUGAUCUCUUGGGCAGGGCACUGGAGAGGUGUGACUCAGUUUUAUUGAAAUAUCUCAAGAGCACGGCUUCACCAGAUACCUAGACUGUCCUCCUGGUGGACUGUAGGUCUCCUGAAAGCAGAGACCGCAUCCUGUUGGUUUCCGCUGUGUCUCUAAAUCCUAACACAGUGCCUGCUGCAUAGGAGGUAUUUCAUAUUCGCCAGAUGCAUGGGUGAAUGCCUUGAAUAAAUAAAAUCCAAACUCUUUUCCACCUCCUUCCAAGUCCUGCAUGAUCUGGCCCCUGUCACCUCCCAAAUUCAUGUCUCACAGCUCCCUCUCAUGUUCACUACACACAGGCCUCCUUCUGUCGCUCAAACACACUGUGCCCAUGCUCACCCCAGGGCCUUUGCACAUUCCAUUCCUUUGGUCAUGAACACUCUGCCCCAGCUCAUUGCCUGGCUGCCUCCUUCUUAUCACAAUUUCCCCAGAUGUCCCCUCCAACUCCACCUUUCCAGAGAGGCCUUACAAUAGCUGCCAUCCAAUCACUGACUAUUACAUACAUCACUGCUUUAUUUCCUCCAAAGCGAUUGCGUUUGCUUGGUUGCAAACACACCUCCACAUUAAAAUCUAAGCUGCCCUCCACACACCACAUACUUAGACACACCCUAGAAUGUCAACUCCGAAAGAGAAGGGAUGCUUUUGUGCCUUGUCCACUACUGCAUCUUUAAAGCUAAGUGCAAUAAGAAUGCAUUGAAUGAUUGGAUGAAUGAAUGAACGGUGAGUGGGGGUCACCCUGGGGAAUUAGGCCCUUUGGCAUUUGCAUGAUCUUAAGCCCCAGAGACCCGGCUCAUUUCAGUCCUGAGCAUUUCCAGCUUAAAGAUGCAAGACUUGUCAUCAGAAUAGAUGACUCGGCCCCUCCCUAGAGAUCUCAGAAUGACAACAGAAUAUUGUUCCUGAGCCUUCGCUUGGAUGAUGAUGCUGGGACAAGAGAUUCCCAGAACCUGCUUCCCCACCCCACUCCCUUGACCCAGCCCCCCAGAAAGUCUGAUCCCCAGCCCCCCUCCACCCACUUCCAACAGCCUGCCGGCCAGCGGCUGCUGAUGGUGAUCCACAGAGAUGACUUGAUAUGACCUUGAGGGAAGAAACAAAUUAAUGUGUCUUGAAAUAAAUUCCAGGAACCAGUGGCUGGCUUCUCCACACCUUCCUCUUGGCGCCUCAUGCGUCAUGCAUCAUAAUGUGAAAAUCAAUACUGUCUCCUAAAUGAGCCAACACCUGGAGCGGGCAGGGGGUGGGGCUGCUCAGAGAUCCCCUCCCACCCUAUGUCCUGGGCCUGGGAGUUGUUGGCAGGAGCGGGAGACUCUGGGCCUGCUGUGGGCUCUACUCUCUGGUGGCUGAGGGCUGGCUGAGUGCCCCUGUCUGCUGCGAGGUCAACCCACCUGACCCCCAGCUGCAAGGCUGUCCAGGGACAAGCAGAUGUGGGCUCCCUAGUGGCUCCUGAGGGAAAGGACAGGGCAGCCACAUGGAAGGGCAUUGCCGUGGCCAUUGUCCAAGGAUAACUGAGAUAUGGGGAGGGGAGGAGACUCCAAGCCCAGAUCCCCACUCCAGAAGUUCAGUGUAUAUUUGUCAGUGCAUUUCUUUGGAUUGGGCACCUAUUCAACUGCGUGUCCAGGUACGACAGUGCCAGGUGUCUAAAUGUUGAAAUACUUCAGUGCCCCUGGAUAAAUUGCACUACAGAGACUCUGAGGUGCCCCCAGUGUCCUAGCCCAUGUUAAGCAUGUCUUUAUUCUGAUGCUUUGACCACUUGGGGCCUUGCUAACCCUGGAGGGACUGCUCCUCCCAAGCUUGGCUAAUUCCUAGAGAUAGCAAAGGACUCACCUGUGAGCACACCUUUCAUAUGAAAAGCCACCCAUCCAGAACCCACAGCCCGACCACCUCCUUUAUCAACGCUUAUACUCGGAGACACUAUCCACUUGCCCUAAUCAUCCAAGGACGGGUACCAGAAACCUCGAGACAGCCCCUGGGCCACAGAGCCAGCUGAAACUAUGCAAACUAGCCUGUCCUAAGCCUGCUCACCCAGCCCCACCUGUUCCUUCCUGCAGAAACCACAAUAAAGGCUCUCACCCACGUUUUUUCCACCCCACCCCACCCUACCCGAGUUCCCUCUGCCUCCAACCGAC
RNAcentral lists this long non-coding RNA (12856 nucleotides) under Equus caballus (horse). Its description in RNAcentral is "lncRNA (ENSECAG00000060299.1)". The record is from RNAcentral. Lineage: Eukaryota; Metazoa; Chordata; Mammalia; Perissodactyla; Equidae.